AUGGGGACUUCUCUGGUUGGGGCAGCCUCUGGGAAUUAGCUGGAUAUCCUGAGCUACUGCAGAACUGGCCAUACUCCUUACUGGCUGGAGAGGCGCUCCACCACCACCUCUCACGGGGCAGCACUCAGGAAAGCAGGCCCUAUGCUUAGCCUGGACAGUGCAGCAGAGCUGACCCUGGUGGUGGAGGUGCAGGUGAGCUGGCCCCAGAGCGAGAGCACUGGGGAACUGGCCCCGCUGUUUGAAUGCUGUGAGGUGGCAUGAGUGGGGGUGAUGCCCUUGCCCUUCGCCACCUACAGCAGUCAGGGGAGCUUACCCCAGGCUCAUGGGAGUGAGUGAGCUGUCCCUGUCCCUUACUGGCUGCAGCACUAAGGGAAGUGGGCCCUGCACCUUGCCUUUGUGUGAAGCUGGCCUUCAGGAGGAAAGUAUGGGUGAGCCCACCCUGAGGAUGUGAGAAUGGAAGAGCUGGUACCGGAGCAGUGCCUGAGAGCUUGUCCUGGGGCACGGAACAGGGAGACCUGCAUGCUCACCAGCUCUGAUACCACCCAGAUCCAGAUCCAGGGCUCCGUCCGAGUUGGCUCACUCCAAAAUCUAUGUCAUCUGCGAAUGAUUGAGAUUCAUGGAAGGGCCCGUCCUGCUGAUCCAGUGCUACAGGAUCUCCACAACACAGGGCAACAAUAGGAUAAUUGGGAGGAGUCUGCUGAGGGUUCAAUAUUCAUACCAUCACAGAAACCAGAGGCCUUGAACCAGACCAAUGACUCAUUGCAAUGAACGUUUGCAGAGCAAGAAGCCAGUAGAGUUGAGAGAUGAUGUAUCCAUUUCUGUGAGUUUCUGAUGGUGUCGUCCUGCUGUGAGGCAAAAAGUGAGAGAAGACCUAUUUAUAGAACGCUCAGAUACUGCUCUGGCAUCAUAUCUGCUUGAAUGCUGCUUCUUGCCAUUCUAGUAAUGUACCAAACCUCUGAUACUAUAACCAAGUCACAGGUCAAGACAAUCAUCCCUUUCAUAUCCUUGGUCAAGUGCAGGCAAGACAAUGGUAGGGACUACUUCUGGAUGAUGAAGCUGACUGCUGUAAAGGAUGAUCUACCCAAGUGUUUUGAUGAUGCGGCAACCAGAAGAAGAUAGACUUUCACAACCACGGGAUAGAAGCCAAGCACACUGCUCCCCUGGAUUCUGUGUCGGAAGGGUAAUACAAAGCCCAACCCACAUGCAAGAGGAGGGGUAUUAAUCUGCACUUUCAGAAAGCAGAACUGUCAAAGCCAUUGUGGAUGUAUUUUAAGGCUGAUGUAUUGGUGCAUUGUUUGUACUUCAAGAAAUUAAAGGGUUAAAAAAAUAAAAAAAGGUCAAAGACCUUUCAAACAGGAAAGGUUAACUUGCUGGCUGCGCAGAGAACGGAUCCACUUGAGAGGCUGAUAGCAUUCAUGUCCACGGGAAAGGCUAAGAUUUGAACUAACAGGAAAACAGAGAAUGUAGAGGACUGUCACCAGGCUCAGGGAUGGCAUUAUAGACAGAUGGCUCUAAGUUACUGCAGCUUUUUAAAAAUUGAUCAUUUUCCUGUACAACCUUUUCAUAUUAUUAAAGGCUACUGAAACUGUAAAACAAACAAACAAACAAACAAACAUGUAAAAUUAUAUUGAAAAGAGUCUGUAUGGUGGAAUAAGUUUUUAAAAGGUACAAACCUUUAUUGGUUAGAUUAUACUACAGAAGCUAGUAAUAUUGUGGGAAAAUGAGAAAUUGUAAACAUGUAGUUAUGAAAAUGAAGCAGUUACUCUCUUUAAGUAACUAAAACCAAAAACGCUACUUAUUGUAUUAUUUUUAAAUAACAGAUAAUUGAGUGUUUAGGAUCACAAAUAAAGUUAAAAAUUUAAAUAUAUGCCACCUAAGUUCCUAUGGAACUUAUAGAAAAAUAAAUUUAACUUGCAUAGCCGAAACUAAAAUAGAAUAGAAAUGUAAAACAAAACAAAAACUUCUUUUGUUUUCAGGGACAGAAUCUUGUGGUUUGUGAAGUGCUGGUGAUCUCUUGCUUCAGUGUACUGCUUUCUGGGAUUCCACAUGUGUGCUACUAUACCCAGCUCAGAAAGUUUUGAAAUAAAAUAAUACACGGCAGAAAGACAAUAGUAUACAAUGAAAAAUGUGUCACUUACACUUAAUUGAUUUUCAAAUUAAAUAUGAAAAGUAAUAUGAAGUGAGAAUAUUUUAUAAAAUUUGAUUUAGUUCUAAAACAAA
Rattus norvegicus (Norway rat) is the source of this 2220-nucleotide non-coding RNA. Lineage: Eukaryota; Metazoa; Chordata; Mammalia; Rodentia; Muridae. The record is from RefSeq and is a predicted model, not a curated record.